AGCGCAGGCGGUUUCUUAAGUCUGAUGUGAAAGCCUUCGGCUCAACCGAAGAGGUGCAUCGGAAACUGGGAAACUUGAGUGCAGAAGAGGACAGUGGAACUCCAUGUGUAGCGGUGAAAUGCGUAGAUAUAUGGAAGAACACCAGUGGCGAAGGCGGCUGUCUGGUCUGUAACUGACGCUGAGGCUGAAAGCAUGGGUAGCAAACA
This 206-nucleotide ribosomal RNA is filed under the name uncultured bacterium. Its description in RNAcentral is "partial 16S ribosomal RNA". It matches the Rfam family "Bacterial small subunit ribosomal RNA", at positions 568 to 774 of the family's 1533-position model. The record is from RNAcentral.